RNAcentral lists this transfer RNA (71 nucleotides) under Acropora cervicornis. Its description in RNAcentral is "tRNA-Thr". The stretch from base 5 to 62 matches the Rfam family "tRNA", at positions 8 to 63 of the family's 71-position model. Rfam says of the family: Transfer RNA (tRNA) molecules are approximately 80 nucleotides in length. Their secondary structure includes four short double-helical elements and three loops (D, anti-codon, and T loops). Further hydrogen bonds mediate the characteristic L-shaped molecular structure. tRNAs have two regions of fundamental functional importance: the anti-codon, which is responsible for specific mRNA codon recognition, and the 3' end, to which the tRNAs corresponding amino acid is attached (by aminoacyl-tRNA synthetases). tRNAs cope with the degeneracy of the genetic code in two manners: having more than one tRNA (with a specific anti-codon) for a particular amino acid; and 'wobble' base-pairing, i.e. permitting non-standard base-pairing at the 3rd anti-codon position. The record is from RNAcentral. Lineage: Eukaryota; Metazoa; Cnidaria; Anthozoa; Scleractinia; Acroporidae.
GACCUAGCUCAGUUGGUUAGAGCGUCGCACCGGUAACGCGAAGUCACGGGUUCAAACCCCGUUGAAGUCCU